This is a non-coding RNA of Mus musculus (house mouse), 69 nucleotides long. The record is from Rfam. NCBI's taxonomy places the organism in Eukaryota, Metazoa, Chordata, Mammalia, Rodentia, Muridae.
CAUAGUGUAGCUUAAUAUUAAAGCAUCUGGCCUACACCCAGAAGAUUUCAUGACCAAUGAACACUCUGA